AUUGAACGCUGGCGGCAUGCCUUACACAUGCAAGUCGAACGUUAACAGGUCUUCGGAUGCUGACGAGUGGCGAACGGGUGAGUAAUACAUCGGAACGUGCCUAGUAGUGGGGGAUAACUACUCGAAAGAGUGGCUAAUACCGCAUGAGAUCUACGGAUGAAAGCAGGGGAUCGCAAGACCUUGUGCUACUAGAGCGGCCGAUGGCAGAUUAGGGAGUUGGUGGGAUAAAAGCUUACCAAGCCGACGAUCUGUCGCUGGUCUGAGAGGACGAUCAGCCACACUGGAACGUAGAAACUGCCCAGACUCCAACGGGAGGCAGCAGUUGGGAAUUUUGGACAAUGGGCGCAAGCCUGAUCCAGCAAUGCCGCGUGCAGGAUGAAGGCCUUCGGGUUGUAAACUGCUUUUGUACGGAACGAAAAGCCCCGGGUUAAUACCCUGGGGUCAUGACGGUACCGUAAGAAUAAGCACCGGCUAACUACGUGCCAGCCGCCGCCGUAA
Molecule: ribosomal RNA, 498 nt
Filed under: uncultured bacterium
Lineage: Bacteria
Description: partial 16S ribosomal RNA
Rfam family: Bacterial small subunit ribosomal RNA
Source: RNAcentral